CGGGUCGCAUUGGUUCUGGAAGCUGCCUCUGGUCGUGGUUGGCUCGGUGGUCGGCGCGCUACUUCUCGACCGAGAAGUUCGGAGCAUCUACCGAUGCGUGUUCCCGGCACCGGAGGCUCAGCCACAGGUGCAUGCGGCACCG
Molecule: microRNA precursor, 142 nt
Filed under: Lotus japonicus
Lineage: Eukaryota; Viridiplantae; Streptophyta; Magnoliopsida; Fabales; Fabaceae
Description: miR7532a stem-loop (lja-MIR7532a)
Rfam family: MIR7532 microRNA precursor family (bases 1-106)
Source: miRBase by way of RNAcentral